GGGUUGUGAGGUUAAGCGACUAAGCGUACACGGUGGAUGCCCUGGCAGUCAGAGGCGAUGAAGGACGUGCUAAUCUGCGAAAAGCGUCGGUAAGGUGAUAUGAACCGUUAUAGCCGGCGAUGUCCGAAUGGGGAAACCCAGUGCAAUUCGUUGCACUAUCGUUAACUGAAUACAUAGGUUAACGAGGCGAACCGGGGGAACUGAAACAUCUAAGUACCCCGAGGAAAAGAAAUCAACCGAGAUUCCCCCAGUAGCGGCGAGCGAACGGGGAGCAGCCCGGAGUCUGAAUCAGCUUGUGUGUUAGUGGAAGCGUCUGGAAAGUCGCAGGGUACAGGGUGAUACUCCCGUACACUAAAACGCACAGGUUGUGAACUCGAAGAGUAGGGCGGGACACGUGGUAUCCUGUCUGAAUAUGGGGGGACCAUCCUCCAAGGCUAAAUACUCCUGACUGACCGAUAGUGAACCAGUACCGUGAGGGAAAGGCGAAAAGAACCCCGGCGAGGGGAGUGAAAAAGAACCUGAAACCGUGUACGUACAAGCAGUAGGAGCCCACUAGUUGGGUGACUGCGUACCUUUUGUAUAAUGGGUCAGCGACUUAUAUUCUGUAGCAAGGUUAACCGUAUAGGGGAGCCGCAGGGAAACCGAGUCUUAACUGGGCGUUAAGUUGCAGGGUAUAGACCCGAAACCCGGUGAUCUAGCCAUGGGCAGGUUGAAGGUUGGGUAACACUAACUGGAGGACCGAACCGACUAAUGUUGAAAAAUUAGCGGAUGACUUGUGGCUGGGGGUGAAAGGCCAAUCAAACCGGGAGAUAGCUGGUUCUCCCCGAAAGCUAUUUAGGUAGCGCCUCGUGAACUCAUCUUCGGGGGUAGAGCACUGUUUCGGCUAGGGGGUCAUCCCGACUUACCAACCCGAUGCAAACUACGAAUACCGAAGAAUGUUAUCACGGGAGACACACGGCGGGUGCUAACGUCCGUCGUGAAGAGGGAAACAACCCAGACCGCCAGCUAAGGUCCCAAAGUCAUGGUUAAGUGGGAAACGAUGUGGGAAGGCCCAGACAGCCAGGAUGUUGGCUUAGAAGCAGCCAUCAUUUAAAGAAAGCGUAAUAGCUCACUGGUCGAGUCGGCCUGCGCGGAAGAUGUAACGGGGCUAAACCAUGCACCGAAGCUGCGGCAGCGACACUAUGUGUUGUUGGGUAGGGGAGCGUUCUGUAAGCCGUUGAAGGUGGCCUGUGAGGGUUGCUGGAGGUAUCAGAAGUGCGAAUGCUGACAUAAGUAACGAUAAUGCGGGUGAAAAACCCGCACGCCGGAAGACCAAGGGUUCCUGUCCAACGUUAAUCGGGGCAGGGUGAGUCGACCCCUAAGGCGAGGCCGAAAGGCGUAGUCGAUGGGAAACAGGUUAAUAUUCCUGUACUCGGUGUUACUGCGAAGGGGGGACGGAGAAGGCUAUGUUGGCCGGGCGACGGUUGUCCCGGUUUAAGCAUGUAGGCGGAUGUUCCAGGUAAAUCCGGAGCGUCACUAACGCUGAGGUGUGAUGACGAGGCACUACGGUGCUGAAGUGACAAAUGCCCUGCUUCCAGGAAAAGCCUCUAAGCAUCAGGUAACAUCAAAUCGUACCCCAAACCGACACAGGUGGUCAGGUAGAGAAUACCAAGGCGCUUGAGAGAACUCGGGUGAAGGAACUAGGCAAAAUGGUGCCGUAACUUCGGGAGAAGGCACGCUGAUGGUAAGUGAAGCGACUUGCUCGUGGAGCUGAAAUCAGUCGAAGAUACCAGCUGGCUGCAACUGUUUAUUAAAAACACAGCACUGUGCAAACACGAAAGUGGACGUAUACGGUGUGACGCCUGCCCGGUGCCGGAAGGUUAAUUGAUGGGGUUAUCCGUAAGGAGAAGCUCUUGAUCGAAGCCCCGGUAAACGGCGGCCGUAACUAUAACGGUCCUAAGGUAGCGAAAUUCCUUGUCGGGUAAGUUCCGACCUGCACGAAUGGCGUAAUGAUGGCCAGGCUGUCUCCACCCGAGACUCAGUGAAAUUGAACUCGCUGUGAAGAUGCAGUGUACCCGCGGCAAGACGGAAAGACCCCGUGAACCUUUACUAUAGCUUGACACUGAACACUGGUCCUUGAUGUGUAGGAUAGGUGGGAGGCUUUGAAGUGUGGACGCCAGUCUGCAUGGAGCCAUCCUUGAAAUACCACCCUUUAAUGGCUGGUGUUCUAACGUGGGCCCCUAAUCGGGGUUGCGGACAGUGUCUGGUGGGUAGUUUGACUGGGGCGGUCUCCUCCUAAAGAGUAACGGAGGAGCACGAAGGUCAGCUAAUCCUGGUCGGACAUCAGGAGGUUAGUGCAAUGGCAUAAGCUGGCUUGACUGCGAGCGUGACGGCGCGAGCAGGUGCGAAAGCAGGUCAUAGUGAUCCGGUGGUUCUGAAUGGAAGGGCCAUCGCUCAACGGAUAAAAGGUACUCCGGGGAUAACAGGCUGAUACCGCCCAAGAGUUCAUAUCGACGGCGGUGUUUGGCACCUCGAUGUCGGCUCAUCACAUCCUGGGGCUGAAGUAGGUCCCAAGGGUAUGGCUGUUCGCCAUUUAAAGUGGUACGCGAGCUGGGUUUAGAACGUCGUGAGACAGUUCGGUCCCUAUCUGCCGUGGGCGCUGGAGAAUUGAGGGGGGCUGCUCCUAGUACGAGAGGACCGGAGUGGACGCAUCACUGGUGUUCGGGUUGUCAUGCCAAUGGCAUUGCCCGGUAGCUAAAUGCGGAAGAGAUAAGUGCUGAAAGCAUCUAAGCACGAAACUUGCCCCGAGAUGAGUUCUCCCUGACUCCUUGAGAGUCCUGAAGGAACGUUGAAGACGACGACGUUGAUAGGCCGGGUGUGUAAGCGCAGCGAUGCGUUGAGCUAACCGGUACUAAUGAACCGUGAGGCUUAACCUUACAACGCCGAAG
RNAcentral lists this ribosomal RNA (2927 nucleotides) under Klebsiella michiganensis. RNAcentral describes it as "23S ribosomal RNA". It matches the Rfam family "Bacterial large subunit ribosomal RNA". The record is from RNAcentral. Lineage: Bacteria; Pseudomonadati; Pseudomonadota; Gammaproteobacteria; Enterobacterales; Enterobacteriaceae.